RNAcentral lists this ribosomal RNA (447 nucleotides) under uncultured bacterium. RNAcentral describes it as "bacterial SSU rRNA". It matches the Rfam family "Bacterial small subunit ribosomal RNA", at positions 329 to 793 of the family's 1533-position model. The record is from RNAcentral.
AGCCAGACUCCUACGGGAGGCAGCAGUGGGGAAUAUUGCACAAUGGGGGAAACCCUGAUGCAGCGACGCCGCGUGAGCGAUGAAGUAUUUCGGUAUGUAAAGCUCUAUCAGCAGGGAAGAAGAUGACGGUACCUGACUAAGAAGCCCCGGCUAACUACGUGCCAGCAGCCGCGGUAAUACGUAGGGGGCAAGCGUUAUCCGGAUUUACUGGGUGUAAAGGGAGCGUAGACGGCGAUGCAAGCCAGAUGUGAAAGCCCGGGGCUCAACCCCGGGACUGCAUUUGGAACUGUGUGGCUGGAGUGUCGGAGAGGCAGGCGGAAUUCCUAGUGUAGCGGUGAAAUGCGUAGAUAUUAGGAGGAACACCAGUGGCGAAGGCGGCCUGCUGGACGAUGACUGACGUUGAGGCUCGAAAGCGUGGGGAGCAAACAGGAUUAGAUACCCCCGUAC